GUGGGGAAUUUUGGACAAUGGGGGCAACCCUGAUCCAGCCAUGCCGCGUGAGGGAAGAAGGCCUUCGGGUUGUAAACCUCUUUCGGGCGGGACGAAAGCGCUCGGGCGAAUAGCCUGAGUGGAUGACGGUACCGCAAGAAGAAGCACCGGCUAACUACGUGCCAGCAGCCGCGGUAAUACGUAGGGUGCGAGCGUUAAUCGGAAUUACUGGGCGUAAAGCGUGCGCAGGCGGCUUUGCAAGCCAGACGUGAAAGCCCCGGGCUUAACCUGGGAAUGGCGUUUGGGACUGCAAGGCUGGAGUGCGGCAGAGGGAACUGGAAUUCCUGGUGUAGCAGUGAAAUGCGUAGAUAUCAGGAGGAACACCGAUGGCGAAGGCAGGUUCCUGGGCCAGCACUGACGCUCAUGCACGAAAGCGUGGGGAGCAAACAGGAUUAGAUACCCUAGUAGUCC
Molecule: ribosomal RNA, 450 nt
Filed under: uncultured bacterium
Lineage: Bacteria
Description: bacterial SSU rRNA
Rfam family: Bacterial small subunit ribosomal RNA
Source: RNAcentral